RNAcentral lists this ribosomal RNA (253 nucleotides) under uncultured bacterium. RNAcentral's name for it is "partial 16S ribosomal RNA". It matches the Rfam family "Bacterial small subunit ribosomal RNA", at positions 524 to 776 of the family's 1533-position model. The record is from RNAcentral.
UACGGAGGGAGCUAGCGUUGUUCGGAAUUACUGGGCGUAAAGCGCGCGUAGGCGGUUUUUUAAGUCAGAGGUGAAAGCCCAGUGCUCAACACUGGAACUGCCUUUGAAACUGGAAAGCUAGAAUCUUGGAGAGGUCAGUGGAAUUCCGAGUGUAGAGGUGAAAUUCGUAGAUAUUCGGAAGAACACCAGUGGCGAAGGCGCUCUACUGGGCCAUUACUGACGCUGAUGGACGAAAGCUAGGGGAGCGAAAGGG